GGGCGCGGGGGUGGUUGGGGACAAUUAACUCCCGUGGCGAUGUGUUGGGAGAGAGGCAAAAGUGGGUUACUUGGGUAUUUUAACUCAAUAAACAUCCCCGACGACUGAGAAAGAAGCGACGGGAUCGUGAACUUCCCGCCGGGUAGAAACGCCGCGGUGGGCCCCGCAGCGUGCGCUCUGGAAAGAAUUAAUUUUAGUGUUACUCGCCGCGCGGGUCGGCCGGCCAGAGGCGGGGACCCCUCGGAACACCGUCCCGGAGCAGGAAGAGGGAAAUUUGGACGCACACACCCAGGAAGAAUGCUGUCUGAAUACUGAGGCAGAGAUUGGAGUUAUCCUGCCCCAAGCCGAAGAAUGCCAAGAAUUGCUGGCCACCCACAGAAGCCGGGAGCAAGGUGCAGAGCAGAUUCUCCCUCUGAGCCCCUAAUGUUGCAGGAUCGCAGGGUUCUCGUCGGAGUCGAAGAAUGAAUCUCAUGGACACAAAAGAGUGAAGUGAAGUGAACUUUUAUUAAGUGAAGUGUUUGGUAACCACACUGAUGGAGUUGGAAGGAACCGGGAGUUUUCUGAAGAAAGGGGCUUCAUCAGGUGGCGCCACAGGCUCAUGGAUGGGCCUUCCUCAGCUCGCCGGGUGGCCACCUGUGCAACACUCGGAAUGAAGAGAAGGAAGAAGGCUUCUGCUUCUACGCUUCUCCUCCGGGGUUCAUCCGG
This is a long non-coding RNA of Zalophus californianus (California sea lion), 705 nucleotides long. RefSeq lists it as uncharacterized. Lineage: Eukaryota; Metazoa; Chordata; Mammalia; Carnivora; Otariidae. The record is from RefSeq and is a predicted model, not a curated record. The transcript is spliced from 4 exons.